RNAcentral lists this ribosomal RNA (497 nucleotides) under uncultured bacterium. RNAcentral describes it as "partial 16S ribosomal RNA". It matches the Rfam family "Bacterial small subunit ribosomal RNA", at positions 28 to 507 of the family's 1533-position model. The record is from RNAcentral.
GAUGAACGCUGGCGGCGUGCCUAAUACAUGCAAGUCGAGCGAACAGACGAGGAGCUUGCUCCUCUGACGUUAGCGGCGGACGGGUGAGUAACACGUGGAUAACCUACCUAUAAGACUGGGAUAACUUCGGGAAACCGGUGCUAAUACCGGAUAAUAUAUUGAACCGCAUGGUUCAAUAGUGAAAGACGGUUUUGCUGUCACUUAUAGAUGGAUCCGCGCUGCAUUAGCUAGUUGGUAAGGUAACGGCUUACCAAGGCAACGAUGCGUAGCCGACCUGAGAGGGUGAUCGGCCACACUGGAACUGAGACACGGUCCAGACUCCUACGGGAGGCAGCAGUAGGGAAUCUUCCGCAAUGGGCGAAAGCCUGACGGAGCAACGCCGCGUGAGUGAUGAAGGUCUUCGGAUCGGAAAACUCUGUUAUGAGGGAAGAACAAAUGUGUAAGUAACUAUGCACGUCUUGACGGUACCUAAUCAGAAAGCCACGGCUAACUACGUG